AGUGAACGCUGGCGGUAGGCCUAACACAUGCAAGUCGAACGGCAGCAUAGUAAGAGCUUGCUCUUACGGGUGGCGAGUGGCGGACGGGUGAGGAAUACAUCGGAAUCUACUUUUUCGUGGGGGAUAACGUAGGGAAACUUACGCUAAUACCGCAUACGACCUACGGGUGAAAGCAGGGGAUCUUCGGACCUUGCGCGAUUGAAUGAGCCGAUGUCGGAUUAGCUAGUUGGCGGGGUAAAGGCCCACCAAGGCGACGAUCCGUAGCUGGUCUGAGAGGAUGAUCAGCCACACUGGAACUGAGACACGGUCCAGACUCCUACGGGAGGCAGCAGUGGGGAAUAUUGGACAAUGGGCGCAAGCCUGAUCCAGCCAUACCGCGUGGGUGAAGAAGGCCUUCGGGUUGUAAAGCCCUUUUGUUGGGAAAGAAAAGCAGCAGGUUAAUACCCCGCUGUUCUGACGGUACCCAAAGAAUAAGCACCGGCUAACUUCGU
RNAcentral lists this ribosomal RNA (491 nucleotides) under uncultured bacterium. RNAcentral's name for it is "partial 16S ribosomal RNA". It matches the Rfam family "Bacterial small subunit ribosomal RNA", at positions 29 to 506 of the family's 1533-position model. The record is from RNAcentral.